GCAUAUCAAUAAGCGGAGGAAAAGAAACCAACCGGGAUUGCCUUAGUAACGGCGAGUGAAGCGGCAAAAGCUCAAAUUUGAAAUCUGGUACCUUCGGUACCCGAGUUGUAAUUUGGAGAGGGCAACUUUGGGGCCGUUCCUUGUCUAUGUUCCUUGGAACAGGACGUCAUAGAGGGUGAGAAUCCCGUGUGGCGAGGAGUGCGGUUCUUUGUAAAGUGCCUUCGAAGAGUCGAGUUGUUUGGGAAUGCAGCUCUAAGUGGGUGGUAAAUUCCAUCUAAAGCUAAAUAUUGGCGAGAGACCGAUAGCGAACAAGUACAGUGAUGGAAAGAUGAAAAGAACUUUGAAAAGAGAGUGAAAAAGUACGUGAAAUUGUUGAAAGGGAAGGGCAUUUGAUCAGACAUGGUGUUUUGUGCCCUCUGCUCCUUGUGGGUAGGGGAAUCUCGCAUUUCACUGGGCCAGCAUCAGUUUUGGUGGCAGGAUAAAUCCAUAGGAAUGUAGCUUGCCUCGGUAAGUAUUAUAGCCUGUGGGAAUACUGCCAGCUGGGACUGAGGACUGCGACGUAAGUCAAGGAUGCUGGCAUAAUGGUUAUAUGCCGCCCGUCUUGAAACACGGACC
Molecule: ribosomal RNA, 615 nt
Filed under: uncultured yeast
Lineage: Eukaryota; Fungi
Description: eukaryotic LSU rRNA
Rfam family: Eukaryotic large subunit ribosomal RNA
Source: RNAcentral